CCUACGGGUGGCAGCAGUAGGGAAUCUUCCACAAUGGGCGAAAGCCUGAUGGAGCGACGCCGCGUGAGUGAAGAAGGUCUUCGGAUCGUAAAACCCUGUUGUUAGAGAAGAAAGUGCGGGAGAGUAACUGUUCACGUUUCGACGGUAUCUAACCAGAAAGUCACGGCUAACUACGUGCCAGCAGCCGCGGUAAUACGGAGGGGGCAAGCGUUAUCCGGAUUUAUUGGGCGUAAAGGGAACGUAGGCGGUGUUUGAAGUCUGAGGUGAAAGCCUUCGGCUUAACCGGGGUAGUGCCUUGGAAACUGGGAGACUGGAGUGCGGGAGAGGAGAGUGGAACUCCAUGUGUAGCGGUGAAAUGCGUAGAUAUAUGGAAGAACACCAGUGGCGAAGGCGGCUGUCUGGUCUGUAACUGACGCUGAGGUGCGAAAGCGUGGGUAGCAAACAGGAUUAGAUACCCGUGUAGUC
RNAcentral lists this ribosomal RNA (465 nucleotides) under uncultured bacterium. RNAcentral's name for it is "partial 16S ribosomal RNA". It matches the Rfam family "Bacterial small subunit ribosomal RNA", at positions 338 to 795 of the family's 1533-position model. The record is from RNAcentral.